Molecule: unclassified non-coding RNA, 484 nt
Filed under: Hevea brasiliensis (rubber tree)
Lineage: Eukaryota; Viridiplantae; Streptophyta; Magnoliopsida; Malpighiales; Euphorbiaceae
Source: RNAcentral
UAGAAAACUUGGAAGGUGGAUGUGAAAAGUUGGAAAGUAUUGCUAAUUGUUUGCUGGGUGUCUUACUUUCUGCACAUUCUAAAUCAGCCAUUGCUGAAUCUGAAAGGAUCACAAGACAAGCCAAGGCUUUGCAGGUCCUUGAAUUGGCAGGAAAAAUGACAAGGAUGCAAGACUCCCAUGUUCUUUAUUAUCUCAGCCUGGAAAAUGCAGAGCAAAGGAAACUAGAUGUAGCAUUUUAUUAUGCAUCGCACUUAUUGAAACUGGAAAAUGGAUCUAAUAUUAAAACGUGGCUACUAUUGGCCAGGAUCUUAUCUGCUCAGAAACGGUAUGUAGAUGCUGAUGCUGUUAUCAGUGCUGCCUUAGAUCAGACAGGGAAAUGGGAUCAGGGAGAGCUGUUGAGAACUCGAGCUAAACUUCAAAUUGCACAGGGCCAGUUAGAGAGUGCUGUUAAGACUUAUGGACAGCUUCUUGCCAUUCUUCAAGU